CACACACACACACACACACACACACAUACAGGUAUCUACCUUUUUAUAAAUACAUAAAGGUUUUUAAAAAGCUCCUUCCCCUGGGCUCCUAUAGCAGGUUUCUGGGCCUUCAUUAAAACACGAAUCACAAUAUUUGGAGGUGAUGUUUGCCAGUGGGUCUUGCCAUUCAGAUUACAGACUAUGAGCUCCCCGGGGUAGGAUCCAGAUGAACUGUAUUUCUCUCAUGGUGCCACAUUCAUAAUAAACAGGCAAUAAACAGGUGUUGAAUGAAUGAAGACUGUACUAUUGCCAUAGUGCAUGAUUCCUCAGUAAACUUACUCUUAGGAAUCUCCCAGAAUGAAAAAUGAUAACACAAACUUUUAUUGAGAAAUAUACCAAGCUUGGUGCUAAGUUCCUAAUUUUGUUCAUCAUGGAUUUUUUGCAUUCGUUUUGGUUUUUAAAAUAUUGUGUUCAAGUAUUAUUUACCUAGGUUACUAACUUUGGGGGGCCUCCCCUAUUUUAGUGCCUGAAGCAAGUGAGGCACCGUGAUAUGAUCCCUAUAAAACAGGGUUUGGGGCACAUGUCUGAGUAAUGCCCCAUUGCCCUCUGGGAAUCCUUCCAGAUCCUAUCACUUUAUUUGUCUGACAGAAUUGACGUUUGUUUGGUCUCACUGUACCAUUGCUCUUGUCAUCUGACCUAAAGAGAGGGUUUGCAAUCUGCAGUGCAUAUUUAUUUUGCUGCCCCAGCAACAUUCUCCCUGCUCUGGCAACAACAACUCUAUGUUGCUUGGGGACCCUCCCCUCCCCAUCCACCGAACUGACUCCAGCCUAUUGCCUAGAGGUGGGCAUGUGACUCAGCUCUGCCAUCAGAGCCUUGCAACCACUGGCCAUAGUCGUGGCUUCAGAGUAGUCAUAUGACUCAAUUACAGCCAAUGAGACUCAAUUCUGGGGGUUUGAUCUCAACUUUGGAGAAGGGAUACUUUCUCUUUUCUGGUACUUGAGAUGGGAUGUAAGCCACGUGGGGUGUUGAGCCUCUCUGAGACUGGAGCUCGUACAGAAGACAGCAGUAUGGAGUGAUGGAGUCAGGGAGGAGACAUCCUGAUAGUAUUGGAGCUCCUGGAUCCAGCUGUACAUGAAGUAUUUUUUGAUUGACCAUUCGGUGCUAGGCACUGUGUUGGGCACUGAGUGCUGGGCAGAGUGGGGAAGCAGACAUAGCCCCUGCCCACGAAGAGAUUGCUCUGCAUAGCAAAUACACCAUCUGACCGGCUGUGUCUCCAGCCUGCAGCCUGUGAGCAGCUACAAGUCGACAGCUUUGAUACCGGCUUGAAAGAACAACUUCGCUCCUGCUUCUACAGGAGAACCAAAUACGUUUAACUGGUUUCAUUCA
Molecule: long non-coding RNA, 1365 nt
Organism: Leopardus geoffroyi (Geoffroy's cat)
Lineage: Eukaryota; Metazoa; Chordata; Mammalia; Carnivora; Felidae
Exons: 2
Source: RefSeq, a predicted model, not a curated record